RNAcentral lists this transfer RNA (73 nucleotides) under Camelus bactrianus (Bactrian camel). It matches the Rfam family "tRNA". Rfam says of the family: Transfer RNA (tRNA) molecules are approximately 80 nucleotides in length. Their secondary structure includes four short double-helical elements and three loops (D, anti-codon, and T loops). Further hydrogen bonds mediate the characteristic L-shaped molecular structure. tRNAs have two regions of fundamental functional importance: the anti-codon, which is responsible for specific mRNA codon recognition, and the 3' end, to which the tRNAs corresponding amino acid is attached (by aminoacyl-tRNA synthetases). tRNAs cope with the degeneracy of the genetic code in two manners: having more than one tRNA (with a specific anti-codon) for a particular amino acid; and 'wobble' base-pairing, i.e. permitting non-standard base-pairing at the 3rd anti-codon position. RNAcentral also lists the same sequence under 2 other names. The record is from Rfam by way of RNAcentral. Lineage: Eukaryota; Metazoa; Chordata; Mammalia; Artiodactyla; Camelidae.
GGAUAUAUAGCUCAAGUGGUAGAGCACUUGCUUAGCACCCAGGAGGUCCUGGGUUCAAUCCCCAGUACCUCCU